CGCGGCCUAUCAGCUUGUUGGUGGGGUAAUGGCCUACCAAGGCGGCGACGGGUAGCCGGCCUGAGAGGGUGUACGGCCACAUUGGGACUGAGAUACGGCCCAGACUCCUACGGGAGGCAGCAGUGGGGAAUAUUGCACAAUGGGCGCGAGCCUGAUGCAGCGACGCCGCGUGGGGGAUGGAGGCCUUCGGGUUGUAAACUCCUUUCGCUAGGGACGAAGCUUUGUGUGACGGUACCUAGAUAAGAAGCACCGGCUAACUACGUGCCAGCAGCCGCGGUAAUACGUAGGGUGCGAGCGUUGUCCGGAAUUACUGGGCGUAAAGGGCUCGUAGGUGGUUUGUCGCGUCGUCUGUGAAAUUCUGGGGCUUAACUCCGGGCGUGCAGGCGAUACGGGCAUAACUUGAGUGCUGUAGGGGUAACUGGAAUUCCUGGUGUAGCGGUGAAAUGCGCAGAUAUCAGGAGGAACACCGAUGGCGAAGGCAGGUUACUGGGCAGUUACUGACGCUGAGGAGCGAAAGCAUGGGUAGCGAACAGGAUUAGAUACCCUGGUAGUCCAUGCCGUAAACGGUGGGCGCUAGGUGUGAGGGUCUUUCUAUGACUUUCGUGCCGUAGCUAACGCAUUAAGCGCCCCGCCUGGGGAGUACGG
RNAcentral lists this ribosomal RNA (645 nucleotides) under uncultured bacterium. RNAcentral's name for it is "bacterial SSU rRNA". It matches the Rfam family "Bacterial small subunit ribosomal RNA", at positions 232 to 885 of the family's 1533-position model. The record is from RNAcentral.